Molecule: non-coding RNA, 156 nt
Organism: Pelobates cultripes (western spadefoot toad)
Lineage: Eukaryota; Metazoa; Chordata; Amphibia; Anura; Pelobatidae
Source: the annotation of a GenBank genome assembly
GCAGACACAUUCCAGCCAAUCAGCAGCAGACCCUCCCUCCCAGACCCUCCACCUCCUGGACAGCUCACUAAGAAUGCAGCUUCAAAAUGGAUGCUGUCCAGGAGGUGGGAGGGUCUGGGAGGGAGGGUCUGCUGCUGAUUGGCUGGAAUGUGUCUG